GACGAACGCUGGCGGCGUGCUUAACACAUGCAAGUCGAACGGUGAAGCGCCUUCCUUUUUGGUGGGUGUGGAUGAGUGGCGAACGGGUGAGUAACACGUGAGUAACCUGCCCCCUUCUUCUGGAUAACCGCAUGAAAGUGUGGCUAAUACGGGAUAUUCUGGGUCUGUCGCAUGAUGGGUCUGGGAAAGAUAUUGUUUCGGUGGGGGAUGGGCUCGCGGCCUAUCAGCUUGUUGGUGGGGUGAUGGCCUACCAAGGCGGUGACGGGUAGCCGGCCUGAGAGGGUGGACGGUCACACUGGGACUGAGACACGGCCCAGACUCCUACGGGAGGCAGCAGUGGGGAAUAUUGCACAAUGGGCGCAAGCCUGAUGCAGCGACGCCGCGUGAGGGAUGGAGGCCUUCGGGUUGUGAACCUCUUUCGCUAGUGAAGCAGGCCUGCCUCGUUUGUGGGUGGGUUGACGGUAGCUGGAUAAGAAGCGCCGGCUAACUACGUG
Molecule: ribosomal RNA, 494 nt
Filed under: uncultured bacterium
Lineage: Bacteria
Description: partial 16S ribosomal RNA
Rfam family: Bacterial small subunit ribosomal RNA
Source: RNAcentral